AGAGGAUCUGGCUGCAAUUAUCUGUCAUCCCAUUAAUCACCAUGCUUAAUUCAACUGCUUUAGAUGACCGGGUGAGUGUGCCCUUCCUCUGCCACUCCUUGUGCAUCUUCUUCCUGAAACAGAUGGCUCAGUUGAUGGACAACCUUUGCUGGUAGGGGAAGGCCACUCUGUCAUCAGUAAAGAGCAGCAGUGUCCUCGUGCUAGAAUCUCCAAAGAAACCCUCAAGAAAUGCACUGAGCCUGCUUUCAUAAGUGAUGGGCAGCUGUGGCAUGUUGAUACUAUGAUACUAAGUAAUACUGUAGCUCAUU
This 308-nucleotide small nuclear RNA is filed under the name Mus pahari (shrew mouse). Its description in RNAcentral is "sRNA (MGP_PahariEiJ_G0008060.1)". The stretch from base 1 to 258 matches the Rfam family "7SK RNA". From Rfam's summary of the family: 7SK was discovered as an abundant small nuclear RNA in the mid-70s but a possible function has only recently been suggested. Two independent studies have found that 7SK RNA binds the CDK9/cyclin T complex (known as elongation factor P-TEFb). Lineage: Eukaryota; Metazoa; Chordata; Mammalia; Rodentia; Muridae. The record is from RNAcentral.